CUUGUUUUGUUCUUCCAACCAACGGGCAUAUUCCACAUCAAAUGCCAUGGCCCCUGCAAAUGUGAAGUAGCUGAUGCUAUGCAACUUCAAACUGAAAAGAUAGCUAAAAGAAAACACACUUACUGCCAAAAAAUUGUUCAGGUUGUCUUUUGAAAGUAAAUAUCAUGAUUCAAGAUAGUUCAAAUACCAUUUCCAGCCAUUGAAUGGGCCUGAUCUCCUGAGCUUGAUAUGAAGAUUCCCUAAACAGAGGAACACAGUUUAUAGAAAUUUAACGAGACUCACAAUAUAUAGGUAAGUAACAGUCAUGAAAAGGAAAUGCAGGCAACCUGCUGCCGUGCCCGCUGAAGCUCCUGCUCUAGUUGGGUCAACUUUAAACGACUACUCUCCAGCUGUUGGACAUAUGCCUGCAUAGAGAUAAGAUCAGGGAACAAGUUGGAUUCAGUGAGACUCGUUAUUGUAAAUUUGAACUAAUCAAGUUUUCUUAAUUACUGAGAUUAUUUGAUAAGGUUAUAGACCAGCUUUCAUUAUAUAUAAUUUUCUGAAGAAAAAAAAAGAAGAAGAAGAAGAACCCAGAGGUACGAAAGCCAUUAUAUAAGGGAACCAAAGUAGUAGAAAAUAGCUCUCAUCAGAUGCCCUAAUAUGCUAAUAUUAAGCUGUUGCUCAUGUGAUCAGGGCGUUCGACCAAAUAAAUAUCCUCAAAGGCAUCAAAGCUAGCCAAAAAAACAAGACAAGAAUCAUGGCAGGAAUGAAGUCUUAAAAUUAACGAUGAGGAAGAGGGAGCUGUGUACUGAGGAAGGGAUAAAGAAAGAGGCAUUCAUCUUACACAGUAUCAAGAGGAUGAAUUUUAUGAUGGACAUGCCAGAGUUCAGAAUGUCAGUAAUGUAACUGAUGUAGCCUAAGUAGUCUCUAGUAGAAAUCCUUCCGGAACCAAGAUUGUGAAUAUAAUUAUAUAAUAAAAAAAAUUAUAUGUUUCAUACAAGA
Long non-coding RNA from Cucumis sativus (cucumber), 981 nucleotides. RefSeq lists it as uncharacterized. Lineage: Eukaryota; Viridiplantae; Streptophyta; Magnoliopsida; Cucurbitales; Cucurbitaceae. The transcript is spliced from 2 exons. The record is from RefSeq and is a predicted model, not a curated record.